UACCCCACGGCUAACUACGUGCCAGCAGCCGCGGGUAAUACGUAGGUGGCAAGCGUUGUCCGAUUUAUUGGGCGUAAAGCGAGCGCAGGCGGUUUUUUUUAAGUCUGAUGUGAAAGCCUUCGGCUCAACCGAAGAAGUGCAUCGGAAACUGGGAAACUUGAGUGCAGAAGAGGACAGUGAAACUCCCAUGUGUAGCGGUGAAAUGCGUAGAUAUAUGGAAGAACACCAGUGGCGAAGGCGGCUGUCUGGUCUGUAACUGACGCUGAGGCUCGAAAGUAUGGGUAGCAAACAGGAUUAGAUACCCUGGUAGUCCAUACCGUAAACGAUGAAUGCUAAGUGUUGGAGGGUUUCCGCCCUUCAGUGCUGCAGCUAACGCAUUAAGCAUUCCGCCUGGGGAGUACGGCCGCAAGGCUGAAACUCAAAGGAAUUGACGGGGGCCCGCACAAGCGGUGGAGCAUGUGGUUUAAUUCGAAGCUACGCGAAGAACCUUACCAGGUCUUGACAUACUAUGCAAAUCUAAGAGAUUAGACGUUCCCUUCGGGGACAUGGAUACAGGUGGUGCAUGGUUGUCGUCAGCUCGUGUCGUGAGAUGUUGGGUUAAGUCCCGCAACGAGCGCAACCCUUAUUAUCAGUUGCCAGCAUUAAGUUGGGCACUCUGGUGAGACUGCCGGUGACAAACCGGAGGAAGGUGGGGAUGACGUCAAAUCAUCAUGCCCCUUAUGACCUGGGCUACACACGUGCUACAAUGGAUGGUACAACGAGUUGCGAACUCGCGAGAGUAAGCUAAUCUCUUAAAGCCAUUCUCAGUUCGGAUUGUAGGCUGCAACUCGCCUACAUGAAGUCGGAAUCGCUAGUAAUCGCGGAUCAGCAUGCCGCGGUGAAUACGUUCCCGGGCCUUGUACACACCGCCCGUCACACCAUGAGAGUUUGUAACACCCAAAUGCGGUGGGGUAACUUUAGGAACCAGCCG
RNAcentral lists this ribosomal RNA (970 nucleotides) under Lactiplantibacillus pentosus. Its description in RNAcentral is "bacterial SSU rRNA". It matches the Rfam family "Bacterial small subunit ribosomal RNA", at positions 487 to 1455 of the family's 1533-position model. The record is from RNAcentral. Lineage: Bacteria; Bacillati; Bacillota; Bacilli; Lactobacillales; Lactobacillaceae.